Molecule: ribosomal RNA, 406 nt
Filed under: uncultured bacterium
Lineage: Bacteria
Description: partial 16S ribosomal RNA
Rfam family: Bacterial small subunit ribosomal RNA
Source: RNAcentral
AUUGAACGCUGGCGGCAGGCCUAACACAUGCAAGUCGGGCGAGAGGCGGACGGGUGAGUAAUGUAUGGGGAUCUGCCUGAUGGCGGGGGCUAACUACUGGAAACGGUAGCUAAUACCGCAUACCAUCAGAUGAACCCAUAUGGGAGUAGCUAGUAGGUGAGGUAACGGCUCACCUAGGCGACGAUCCCUAGCUGGUCUGAGAGGAUGAUCGGCCACACUGGGACUGAGACACGGCCCAGACUCCUACGGGAGGCAGCAGUGGGGAAUAUUCGGCAAUGGACGCAAGUCUGAUGCAGCAAUGCCGCGUGAGUGAAGAAGGCCUUCGGAUCGUAAAACACUGUUAUUCGGGAGGCGUUACCGAACGAGGAAGCACCGGCUAACUACGUGCCAGCAGCCGCGGUAAUAC